AUACGGAGGGUGCGAGCGUUGUUCGGAAUUAUUGGGCGUAAAGAGCAUGUAGGCGGUCUGUUAAGUCUGGUGUGAAAGCCCGGGGCUCAACCCCGGAAGUGCAUUGGAUACUGGCAGACUUGAGUAUGGAAGAGGAAAGCGGAAUUCCGAGUGUAGGAGUGAAAUCCGUAGAUAUUCGGAGGAACACCAGUGGCGAAGGCGGCUUUCUGGACCAAUACUGACGCUGAGAUGCGAAAGCGUGGGGAGCAAACAGGAUUAGAAACCCCAGUAGUCC
RNAcentral lists this ribosomal RNA (274 nucleotides) under uncultured bacterium. Its description in RNAcentral is "partial 16S ribosomal RNA". It matches the Rfam family "Bacterial small subunit ribosomal RNA", at positions 523 to 796 of the family's 1533-position model. The record is from RNAcentral.